Molecule: non-coding RNA, 287 nt
Organism: Pelobates cultripes (western spadefoot toad)
Lineage: Eukaryota; Metazoa; Chordata; Amphibia; Anura; Pelobatidae
Source: the annotation of a GenBank genome assembly
CUGAGGGGGAGGGAAUGGGACACAUGAACGGGCUUUGGGCUGAGGAAAUGAGACACAAAGAGGGAAUUUGAGGGGGAAAUGAGACACAUGGAGGAGCUUUGGGGGGAGGAAAUGAGACACACAGACGGGCUGGGAUUUCUAGUUACGCCUCUGUGUAAACAAAAAUGGUCAAAUGGAACAAUUCUCCAAGUCACUAUGCUCUCAGUUUGGCUAUUUUGUCCUUAAAUCUGAAAAACACCCUAAAUUCUAGACGUUCAAUUAGUUUCGGUCCAAAUGUGAAUUCGGAC